RNAcentral lists this ribosomal RNA (305 nucleotides) under uncultured bacterium. RNAcentral describes it as "bacterial SSU rRNA". It matches the Rfam family "Bacterial small subunit ribosomal RNA", at positions 333 to 634 of the family's 1533-position model. The record is from RNAcentral.
CUUUGCCUACGGGAGGCAGCAGUGAGGAAUAUUGGUCAAUGGGCUUACGCCUGAACCAGCCAAGUCGCGUGAGGGAAGACUGCCCUAUGGGUUGUAAACCUCUUUUGUCAGGGAGCAACGCCGGCUACGUGUAGCCGGACUGAGAGUACCUGAAGAAAAAGCAUCGGCUAACUCCGUGCCAGCAGCCGCGGUAAUACGUAGGGGGCAAGCGUUAUCCGGAUUUACUGGGUGUAAAGGGAGCGUAGACGGAGGAGCAAGUCUGAUGUGAAAAUCCGGGGCCCAACCCCGGAACUGCAUUGGAAACU